GAACACUUUGAUUUCUUUUCAAUCAUAGUUUAAGCUAGGAUUGGAAUUUUGAGCUGAAAGCUAAUUCCUGAGUAGCAUUAAAUUUCCUACCUCCUUGCAGGGAAAGGCCACAAUAUUCUUAAAUUUUAACUUGUGGGCGAAAAAUUGCAAAGCUAAAAUGGGUUUUGAGGAAACAAAAAAUCAAGAAACAAUGAAACAGAAAAAAUAUUAGGUGGAGCUACAGAUCUACAAGUAUUGAAAUCCAAGGACAGAAGAAGAGUGGCUUAUGGAUGAUACAAUAGAGAAAAGGAAACAAAAUACAGAGGCAACAGGUAGCAGAAAGAUGAAGGUGUCUUGGCCUAGAUAACUAA
RNAcentral lists this long non-coding RNA (350 nucleotides) under Homo sapiens (human). RNAcentral's name for it is "HSALNT0162942". Lineage: Eukaryota; Metazoa; Chordata; Mammalia; Primates; Hominidae. The record is from RNAcentral.